AGGGAAAGGUGAAAAGAACCCCGGGAGGGGAGUGAAAUAGAACCUGAAACCGUGUGCUUACAAGCGGUCAGAGCAGAGCCUUCGGGCGUGUGAUGGCGUGCCUUUUGGAGAAUGAUCCUGCGAGUUACGAUCAAUGGCGAGGUUAAGUAUAACGGAGCCGAAGGGAAACCAAGUCUGAAUAGGGCGAAUUAGUCGUUGGUUGUAGACGCGAAACCUGGUGAUCUAUGCCUGUCCAAGAUGAAGCUGUGGUAAGACACAGUGGAGGUCUGAACCCACCGUCGUUGAAAAGCCGGGGGAUGAGGUAGGUAUAGGGGUGAAAAGCCAAUCGAACCAGGAGAUAGCUCGUUCUCUCCGAAAUGCAUUUAGGUGCAGCCUUGAUUGUUUAAAUAUGGGGGUAGAGCACUGAAUGGUCUAGCGGGCAUAUUGCUUAGCGAAAUCAAUCAAACUCCGAAUACCAUAUUUCAAGAGAUCAGGAGUGAGACUAUGGGUACUAAGAUCCAUGGUCAAAAGGGAAACAGCCCAGACCACCAACUAAGGUCCCAAAUUAUAUCUAAGUGGGAAAGGAGGUGGAGAUUCUGAAACAACCAGGAUGUUGGCUUAGAAGCAGCCAUACAUUUAAAGAGUGCGUAAUAGCUCACUGGUCGAGAGUCUCUGCGCCGACAAUGUAACGGGGCUAAGAUAUAAACCGAAGUUGUGGAGUAUACACUAUGUGUAGACUGGUAGGAGAGCGUUCCGUAGGCCGUUGAAGGAUAAGGGGUGACCCAAUCUGGAGGUAUCGGAAGUGAGAAUGCAGGAAUGAGUAGCGAGAAAGAGGGUGAGAAUCCCUCUCGCCGGAAAACCAAGGUUUCCAGAGUAAAGCUUGUCUUCUCUGGGUAAGCCGGGACCUAAGCCGAGGCUAGAUUGCGUAGGCGAAUGGAAAGCAGUUUAAUAUUACUGCGCCACUAUAAUUUGUUUGAGAGAUGGAGGGACGCAGAAGGGUAUGUGCGCAGACUGUUGGAUAUGUCUGUGUAAGCAUGUAGGAUGGAACCGCAGGAAAAUCCACGGUUUUAGAUCUGAGGUGUUAUGCGGAGUGUUUGUAAUGAACACGAAGGUACAAAUCCCACGCUGCCGAGAAAAGCUUCUAUUGAGAAUUAAAGUGCCCGUACCGUAAACCGACACAGGUGGUUAGGAUGAGAAAUCUAAGGCGUACAGGCUAACUCUCGCUAAGGAACUCUGCAAAAUGGCCCCGUAACUUCGGGAGAAGGGGUGCCAUUAAAGGUAAUAGAAACACGCGUUCUAAAGCUUUUGAUGGCCGCAGUGAAGAGAUUCGAGCAACUGUUUAGCAAAAACACAGGUCUAUGCUAAGCUGAAAGGCGAUGUAUAUGGGCUGACACCUGCCCAGUGCCGGAAGGUUAAGAGGAGGGUUUAGCGACUCAAAUUGAAGCCCCGGUGAACGGCGGCCGUAACUAUAACGGUCCUAAGGUAGCGAAAUUCCUUGUCGG
Molecule: ribosomal RNA, 1481 nt
Filed under: bioreactor metagenome
Description: bacterial LSU rRNA
Rfam family: Bacterial large subunit ribosomal RNA
Source: RNAcentral